UACGGAGGGUGCAAGCGUUUAAUCGGAAUUACUGGGCGUAAAGCGUGCGCAGGCGGUUUGUUAAGUCCGCUGUGAAAUCCCCGAGCUCAACUUGGGAAUUGCAGUGGAUACUGGCAAGCUGGAGUAUGGUAGAGGAAGGUGGAAUUCCCGGUGUAGCAGUGAAAUGCGUAGAGAUCGGGAGGAACACCAGUGGCGAAGGCGGCCUUCUGGACCAAUACUGACGCUCAUGCACGAAAGCGUGGGGAGCAAACAGG
Molecule: ribosomal RNA, 254 nt
Filed under: uncultured bacterium
Lineage: Bacteria
Description: partial 16S ribosomal RNA
Rfam family: Bacterial small subunit ribosomal RNA
Source: RNAcentral